UGAUCAGCUGUUCCACUAACAGCUGUUCCACUAACAGCUGAUCCAGUAACAGCUGGGACACGAACAGCUGAUCCAGUAACAGCUGGGAUAACCUCAGAGUGUCUCUUCAGGUGAUUUCUGAGAACAUGGCGACCGUCCUCCGGGAGUUCUGCCCGCUCUACUAUCUGCUGAACGCGAUACCGGCAAAGGUGCAGAGGGGGUUCCGGUCUCUCCUGGUGUACCUCACGGCGGUGGACAGCAGCAGUGACUUCGUGGCGGUCGGCAGCAGCAUCGGGAUGCUCUACCUGUACUGCCGGCGCCUGGGUCACAUGACCAAGUACAGCCUGGAGGGGAAGUGUGAUGCGAUCACAGCUGUGAAGCUGCUUAGCUGUUUUGAUGAUCUGGUUGCCGUGGGAACAGCAUCUGGCCGUGUGGCAGUCUUCCAGCUGGUGUCUCCACUUCCUGGUCGCAACAAACAGCUGCGGCGCUUCGAUGUGGUCGGCCUCCACAAAGGUUCCAUCACGUCUCUCGCCUGGAGCGCUAACGGCAUGAAGUUGUUCUCUGGAGACGAUAAAGGACGCGUGGUGUUCUCCGCUCUGGACCUGGACCAGGGUGUGUGUAACCCUGUGCUGCUAUUGGAGGAGUCCUCAGGUGUGGUUCAGGUGGAGUACAGUCACCAGGUGCUGCUGGUGUCCACACAGCACAGAUCACUGCUUUACUGCACACAGACACAAGAAGUCCAACAGCUGGGCACCAAGCCCAGGAAGAGCAGCGGCAGGUUCGGAGCGUGCUUUCUGCCCGCUCUCUGCAAGCAGAGCGACCUGCAGGUGUUCGCUGCUCGGCCGGGACUCCGACUGUGGAGGUCUGACAUCAGAGGACAGGUGGAGGACACGCGGCUGCUGAAACCGCUGUUCAGCUCUCAGAUUCCUCAGUUUGAGUUAUUUCCUCGUCCUGGACCAAUUGGAGCGUACCGUCCAGCAGACAGACAGCUCGGUCUGCUCAGCUGUUUCUUCAGAGAGGGCUGGAUCCUCAGCUGGAACGAGUACAGCAUCUAUGUCUUAGACUGCAUUAACGAGGUGAUCGUUGGAGCGUUGGAGAGCAGCGGAGACAUUGUUUCAGUUUCAUGUUGUGACAACGAAAUCUUCAUCCUGAAAGGAGACAGAGACAUCAUCCGUCUGUCCAACAGCCCCGAGGGACUGGCCUCCAACUUGUCGGAGCUCUCUGUGCGUCUGUCGUCACCUUUGACCUUGCCCACCAUCCUCCCACCAACUGGAUCAGUGGAGACAGCUCAGCCAAUCAGAACCAUGGCUAUCAUUGUAGAGGGAGGGGGGAGGGAGGAGGGUGGAGGAGGGGAGAGACACAGUGAGGAGAUGAAUGAAGAAGAGGAGGAGGAGGUGGAGGAGGCGGAGGAGCAGGAGGAGCAGGAGGAGCAGCUGGAGCUCUGCCAGCCGCCCACUAUCUUCACCUGCAGCUCUCGCAGCCGCAGCAGCUCUGUCACUUCCUGGGACAGUCUCCAUGGAAACAGCCUGGGGUCCAGGCGCUACAGCGCCCCCCUGGGUCAGGAGGAGAUGCAACAGGAGCUGGUGGUGAAAGCCAUCAGAGUGAAGAAGAAGAAGAGACGACAGCAAGGCAACAGCAGUGUGAAUCGUCUCUCAGAGAGCAGCUGCUCAGACUCCAUGUUUGUAGUCCAGGACAGCAGCUGUAGUGAUGGAGGAAGUGGAACCCCACUGAGUGAUAGAGCUUCUUUUGUCGGUCUGGACCUUCAGAACCAGGACUCUCCAGAACAGGACCAGGAUUAUUCUUCCUCCACCCAGUCUGGCUCCCACCUACCUCCAGGCUCCCUGCCCCUCCAGGGACUGGAACACCAACUAAAUUUAGAAAAGGCAUCUGUUCCCGGGGCAGACGCAGAUGUUGUCCCACCAACCCCAGAUGUUGAUCUGCUGCUGGAGUGCACUUUCUCCUAUAUGCACACCACUGAAGAGGAUGAUGGGCAUGAGGAGCAACCAAUGGAAGAGCAGGAGGAUGAGUUUCUGAGCCCUCUGAUUGGACCAGAUGAGGAGGAGCAGGAAGUGGAGGAGGACAACCUGGUGCCCCCUGCUGGUUUGGCUGACCAGAUGUUUUACUCUACUGUGUCCAGUCUGGACAGAAAGCCUAGUAUGUCCAGUGAUGAGGAGGGAGACAUCUACUGCCACAGUCUGCCCCCAGCCGGAGCCGACACCCACAACUGUCCAUCCAAUCAGACAGAGAAGACCACUGACAGACAGAUGGACCAAGAAGCUCAGGACAGAGACAGAAACAAACCUGACCAGUUGGCAGAGAGCUGGAUGGGAUACUCGGGACCAGGAUGUGGAAUACUGAGCCUGCAGGUGACUGAAAGGUAUGUGUGGUGUCUGGACUUUAAAGGAGGACUGUUCUGCAGCAUUCUUCCUGAAACUGGCCUCAACUGGCAGCGCUUUGAAGACAAUGUCCACCAGAUGGCACUCUCACCUUCAGGUAACCUGCUGUGGAAGGUGGAGCAGAAGAGCAUGACGGCGUUUGCGUGUGCUAAAGUGUCUGUGAAAGGAAAGCGUCAUUGGUACAAAGCUGUGGAGCAAACGGCUUUCGUAGCUCUGAGUGACGACUCGGCCUGGAUCAUCAGGACCAACGGAGACUUGUACCUGCAGACAGGUCUGAGUGUGGAGCGUCCAUGUGCGCGCUCAGUGAAGGUGGAGACACCCUGCAUGUUCAGCCAGGUGUGUGUGAGAGGCGGUGUGGUCUGGGCCCUGAGUGAGCACAAAGCUUUAUUCUACAGAGAGGGACUGAACAGCUACUGCAGCGAGGGGGACGGCUGGAAGUACGACACUGUCAGCGAGGCUCAGGGUCUGGACCUGGUGUGCGUUGCCCUGGGAGACGGGGGGACAGCGUGGGCGCUGGACGCCAGCGGCAGCCUUUGGUUCAGGACCGGGAUCCGUUCCUCCAGACCUCAGGGAGACGACGACCACUGGUGGCAGAUCAGUAUUUCGGACUACGUGGUGUUUGAUCAGGGCAGUCUGUUCCAGACGCUGCUGCAGGCCACGCAGAGUGUUGCCACGGUAACCAGGGCUCCGGUGGAGCGCGUGGUGGCGUUCCUGUCGCAGUACUCGCAGUGCCAGCCGAGUCUGGUCAGUGCCAACUGCAGUGGUGUCUGGGUGGCAUCAGGACGCAACCAGCUGCACCUGGCCCGGGGCAGCCUCGUGGGAACUUUCUGGCAGAAUGUUGUUCCAAGGGGAACCGUCUCAGCCACCAGGUGGACCUUCAUCACAUCUUCAGCUGUGCCUCACAGAGAAGGUACGUUCUUGUGGUUGGCUCAGAGCAGGAAGGACCUGUUCUGUGUUUGGGAUCAGGAUGGAGAGCUCCGCCCCUCCUCUGUGCCCCUGCCACCUGAGGUGGAGCUGACUCACCUGUCUGCCUGUCGUGACGCUUUGUGGGGUUUGGACUCUCAUGGCCGAGUCAGUAUUCGCACGUUGUCUCCGUCCUGUCCCUCCGGCCUCCACUGGACGCCGCUCGACCUCAGUCAGCUGGGUGCGGUCCGGCUGGUCUCGGUGAGCUGCGGCAGUCAGAACGUUUGGGCCGUCGACAGUCGAGGAAUCGUUUACUUCAGAGUCGGAACUCAACCGCUGAACCCGAGCAUGAUGCUGCCGGCCUGGAUCCACAUCGACCCCCCUCCACAGCCAAUAGGAGUGCAGCUGGUGAGCAUCCAGACGAGUCCUAACGACCGGCUGCUCUGGACUCUGGACAACCGGGGCAGCGUGUUCGUCCGGACCGGACUCAGCCACGAGAUGCCGGUGGGGACGGACUGGGAGCUGGUUCCAGGUCUGGUGGUGGGUCAGCUGGUUCUCAGCUGUAGGACAGUUUGGGUUCGGUGUGUAAACGGAGAUCUGGCGCGACGUUACGGCGUCUCCGACCGAAACCCCGCCGGAGAUUACUGGAAGAAGAUCCCUGGCAACGCCAACUGGCUAACUGUGACUCCGGAUGACGAGUUGUGGGCGGUGACUCCGAUUGGUGGAUUGUCCCGUCGACUGACGAAGCUCCUCCCACAGACUCCCAGUAGGCCCGCCCCCUCCGCCCCCCCCCUCAGCGGGGACGACGCCGACGACGAAUGGGAGCUCAUCUGACCCGUGAGAUCACUGUGAUGUCACCGCUGUUGAGUGUGUCUGGAUUAACUUGGCGGGACGCUGUGAUGUCACAGUGAUGUCAUAUUGACACUGAGCAGGAAGUGACAUCACUUACAGAGAUGGCCGCUAAAAGGGAGCCCAGGUGUCUGCUGGGAAAUGAAGUGAACUGAGACUUUGUACCGAGAGCACUUUAUUCUGAAGGACUACAGAGACUGGUUCCGACUGGUUCUGACUGGUUCUGACUGGUUCUGACUGGUUCUGACAGGUUCUGACAGGUUCUAACUGGUUCUGACAGGUUCUGACAGGUUCUGACUGGUUCUGACUGGUUCUGACUGGUUCUGACUGGUUCUGACUGGUUCUGACAGGUUCUGACAGGUUCUAACUGGUUCUGACAGGUUCUGACAGGUUCUGACAGGUUCUGACUGGUUCUGACAGGUUCUGACUGGUUCUGACUGGUUCCAUGUUGAUUAUUGAGUAGAGGAGCUAACGGGGAUUUAAAGGGACCGGUCCACAUCAGUCUAGGUUGGAGGGACAGCUGGUUCUCUUCCUGUUUGUCUCAUAUUGGACCCCCCCUCCCAACUGGACCCCC
This is an RNA transcript of Scomber japonicus (chub mackerel), 4701 nucleotides long. It is a transcript of the gene named tectonin beta-propeller repeat containing 2, with no coding region annotated. The transcript is spliced from 28 exons. Lineage: Eukaryota; Metazoa; Chordata; Actinopteri; Scombriformes; Scombridae. The record is from RefSeq and is a predicted model, not a curated record.